RNAcentral lists this ribosomal RNA (299 nucleotides) under uncultured bacterium. Its description in RNAcentral is "partial 16S ribosomal RNA". It matches the Rfam family "Bacterial small subunit ribosomal RNA", at positions 475 to 776 of the family's 1533-position model. The record is from RNAcentral.
CUAUGCGCCUUGCCAGCCCGCUCAGGUGUGCCAGCAGCCGCGGUAAUACGUAGGGGGCAAGCGUUAUCCGGAUUUAUUGGGUUUAAAGGGUGCGUAGGCGGGAUGCCAAGUCAGCGGUAAAAAUGCGGUGCUCAACGCCGUCGAGCCGUUGAAACUGGCGUUCUUGAGUGGGCGAGAAGUAUGCGGAAUGCGUGGUGUAGCGGUGAAAUGCAUAGAUAUCACGCAGAACUCCGAUUGCGAAGGCAGCAUACCGGCGCCCUACUGACGCUGAGGCACGAAAGUGCGGGGGAUCGAACAGG